This 485-nucleotide ribosomal RNA is filed under the name uncultured bacterium. RNAcentral describes it as "partial 16S ribosomal RNA". It matches the Rfam family "Bacterial small subunit ribosomal RNA", at positions 28 to 507 of the family's 1533-position model. The record is from RNAcentral.
GAUGAACGCUAGCGACAGGCUUAACACAUGCAAGUCGAGGGGCAGCACAGGUAGCAAUACCGGGUGGCGACCGGCGCACGGGUGAGUAACGCGUAUGCAACUUACCUAUCAGAGGGGGAUAACCCGGCGAAAGUCGGACUAAUACCGCAUGAAGCAGGGGUCCCGCAUGGGGAUAUUUGCUAAAGAUUCAUCGCUGAUAGAUAGGCAUGCGUUCCAUUAGGCAGUUGGCGGGGUAACGGCCCACCAAACCGACGAUGGAUAGGGGUUCUGAGAGGAAGGUCCCCCACAUUGGUACUGAGACACGGACCAAACUCCUACGGGAGGCAGCAGUGAGGAAUAUUGGUCAAUGGCCGAGAGGCUGAACCAGCCAAGUCGCGUGAGGGAUGAAGGUUCUAUGGAUCGUAAACCUCUUUUAUAAGGGAAUAAAGUGCGGGACGUGUCCCGUUUUGUAUGUACCUUAUGAAUAAGAAUCGGCUAACUCCGUG